AUGUACCUUUUCCCAUUCAAGGAGACGUCCGUGGCAGCCUGGACACGCAAUGUGGAGAGCCUCACCCCUCUGCUCUCUCUGGCGUACCUUGUCAACGCAAGCAUCUGGACUGGGUUUGCCUCCAUCAAGCCGUUGGACAGGUACCUGCAGAUCUCCAACGGGACUGGGAUCCUCAGCGCGUUUCUUCAAUGCCUGGUGUGGUUGAUUUGCCGCCCCGGGCAGCUGCAGAUCGCCAACGGGUCCGGAAUCCUCAGCGCGUUUCUUCAAUGCCUAGUGUGGUUGAUUUUCCGCCCCGAGCAUCAGCACUAG
Molecule: ribosomal RNA, 309 nt
Filed under: Triticum aestivum (bread wheat)
Lineage: Eukaryota; Viridiplantae; Streptophyta; Magnoliopsida; Poales; Poaceae
Description: partial small subunit ribosomal RNA
Source: RNAcentral